This 387-nucleotide unclassified non-coding RNA is filed under the name soil metagenome. RNAcentral describes it as "partial contains 5.8S ribosomal RNA, internal transcribed spacer 2, and large subunit ribosomal RNA". The stretch from base 1 to 120 matches the Rfam family "5.8S ribosomal RNA", at positions 35 to 154 of the family's 154-position model. The record is from RNAcentral.
GAUGAAGAACGCAGCGAAAUGCGAUAAGUAAUGUGAAUUGCAGAAUUCAGUGAAUCAUCGAAUCUUUGAACGCACCUUGCACCCUUUGGUAUUCCGAAGGGUAUGCUCGUUUGAGUGUCAUUGUACUCUCACACUUCUAAUUCCUUUCGGGAUUGGGAGCGGUGGACUUGGGUGUUGCUGCUUUAGUUGUGGCUCACCUCAAAUAAGUUAGUGCAACUCUUGGUUGGACAUAGUACGGCGUGAUAAGUGUCUUCGCCGGCGCCUCUGUAAGGAGGGUGGCCGAUCGGGAGCUCUGUGCUUCAAACCGACUUCGGACAAUCUUUGACAACUUGACCUCAAAUCGAGUAGGACUACCCGCUGAACUUAAGCAUAUCAAUAAGCGGAGGA